This 268-nucleotide ribosomal RNA is filed under the name uncultured bacterium. Its description in RNAcentral is "partial 16S ribosomal RNA". It matches the Rfam family "Bacterial small subunit ribosomal RNA", at positions 793 to 1055 of the family's 1533-position model. The record is from RNAcentral.
GUCCACGCCAUAAACGAUGAGUACUAGGUGUUGCGGGUAUUGACCCCUGCAGUGCCGCAGCUAACGCAUUAAGUACUCCGCCUGGGAAGUACGGUCGCAAGACUAAAACUCAAAGGAAUUGACGGGGGCCCCGCACAAGCGGUGGAGCAUGUGGUUUAAUUCGACGCAACGCGCAGAACAUUACCCUGGUCUUGACAUCUACGGAACCUUCGUGAAAGCGAGGGGUGCCUUUCGGGGAGCCGUAAGACAGGUGCUGCAUGGCUGUCGU